CCUACGGGUGGCAGCAGUGAGGAAUCUUGGUCAAUGGGCGCUAGCCUGAACCAGCCAAGUAGCGUGAAGGAUGAAUGCCCUAUGGGUUGUAAACUUCUUUUAUAUGGGAAUAAAGUGCAGUAUGUAUACUGCUUUGCAUGUACCUUAUGAAUAAGGAUCGGCUAACUCCGUGCCAGCAGCCGCGGUAAUACGGAGGAUCCGAGCGUUAUCCGGAUUUAUUGGGUUGAAAGGGAGCGUAGGCGGGUUGUUAAGUCAGGUGUGAAAGUUGGCGGCUCAACCGGAAAAUUGCAGUUGAUACUGGGAGCCUUGAGUACAGGAGAGGUAGGCGGAAUUCGAGGUGUAGCGGUGAAAUGCUUAGAUAUCACGAAGAACUCCGAUGGCGAAGGCAGCCUGCUGGACUGUAACUGACGCUGAUGCUCGAAAGUGUGGGUAUCAAACAGGAUUAGAUACCCUUGUAGUC
This 460-nucleotide ribosomal RNA is filed under the name uncultured bacterium. RNAcentral describes it as "partial 16S ribosomal RNA". It matches the Rfam family "Bacterial small subunit ribosomal RNA", at positions 338 to 795 of the family's 1533-position model. The record is from RNAcentral.